UUAGCUCAGUCGGUAGAGCAACGGACUGUUAAUCCGGCGGUCGUAGGUUCAAGUCCUACA
RNAcentral lists this transfer RNA (60 nucleotides) under uncultured Faecousia sp. It matches the Rfam family "tRNA", at positions 7 to 64 of the family's 71-position model. Rfam says of the family: Transfer RNA (tRNA) molecules are approximately 80 nucleotides in length. Their secondary structure includes four short double-helical elements and three loops (D, anti-codon, and T loops). Lineage: Bacteria; Bacillati; Bacillota; Clostridia; Eubacteriales; Oscillospiraceae. The record is from RNAcentral.